Long non-coding RNA from Mizuhopecten yessoensis (Yesso scallop), 498 nucleotides. RefSeq lists it as uncharacterized. The record is from RefSeq and is a predicted model, not a curated record. The transcript is spliced from 3 exons. NCBI's taxonomy places the organism in Eukaryota, Metazoa, Mollusca, Bivalvia, Pectinida, Pectinidae.
CUUUGACCCACGACCUAUAUGCUGCGAAUGUAAACAACCUGGUCGAUCUCAAAACGCUUCAAUUUUACGGUAGUAUUUUCAUGUUAUGCUGGAGUUUACCGGUAUCCAGUCUCUGAGAACAAGACAUUGAAUGGUGAAGUCAGAACAGAAUGUGUUUUCUACACAAACGGCGACGAAAUCAAUUCAUUUAUCCAAGACCUCGCCGGCAAACAUGGCGGCCAUUACACCCUUCAGAUGCUGAAGGACCUUCAUUAAACCAACAGAAAGAUAUGGACGUCACAGAUGUAUAAUCCCUCCUGAAUUGCCAGAAGAUUGUGACCCUAUCCGCCACCAUCAGAAGCUUAAUGAGGACAGUUACAGUACUUGCUGACUUAAGUUGGGCAUAUAUGUCUCAUAAUAAAGUUUCAUAGUCUUUUAUAAGUUAUUUAAUAUAUGAUAUGAUAUUGUACUUAUAUAUAUUUGCCCGAUUAUUUUUGACACAUGCACAUCAUCACAUGU